RNAcentral lists this unclassified non-coding RNA (331 nucleotides) under soil metagenome. RNAcentral's name for it is "partial contains 5.8S ribosomal RNA, internal transcribed spacer 2, and large subunit ribosomal RNA". The stretch from base 1 to 120 matches the Rfam family "5.8S ribosomal RNA", at positions 35 to 154 of the family's 154-position model. The record is from RNAcentral.
GAUGAAGAACGUAGCGAAAUGCGAUAAGUAAUGUGAAUUGCAGAAUUCAGUGAAUCAUCGGAUCUUUGAACGCACAUUGCGCCCCCUGGUAUUCCGGGGGGCAUGCCUGUUCGAGCGUCAUUUCACCACUCAAGCCUCGCUUGGUAUUGGGCAACGCGGUCCGCCGCGUGCCUCAAAUCGACCGGCUGGGUCUUCUGUCCCCUAAGCGUUGUGGAAACUAUUCGCUAAAGGGUGCUCGGGAGGCUACGCCGUAAAACAAACCCAUUUCUAAGGUUGACCUCGGAUCAGGUAGGGAUACCCGCUGAACUUAAGCAUAUCAAUAAGCGGAGGG